This is a long non-coding RNA of Zonotrichia leucophrys gambelii, 1034 nucleotides long. RefSeq lists it as uncharacterized. The record is from RefSeq and is a predicted model, not a curated record. Lineage: Eukaryota; Metazoa; Chordata; Aves; Passeriformes; Passerellidae. The transcript has 2 exons.
CCGGCGGGGACAGACGGCCCCGGGCGCCAGGGCUGGGCCGAUCCCGGCUGCCCGCCGGGGUUUAUCCCGUGAUGUCCCGCAGGAAAAGCGGCUCCAUCAGCUCCGGCAUCGUCUGUGCAUCCUGAGCGGAGCGGGGAGGGGAGGACCGGGGGCGGCUCUGCCCAGCAGCGCUGCCCGCAGCCCCCGCCGCCUCCUCCUCCUCCCUCCCUCGCCAUGCUGGACAUUUUCAUCCUGAUGUUUUUCGCCAUCAUCGGCCUGGUGGUCCUGUCCUACAUCAUUUACAUGCUCUGAGGAGCCGCCGCCGCCGAGGAUGCGGCUCAGCAGCGGCCUCGCCCCCCGAGCGGCGGCCAGCCUCCGCCCGGUGCGCGUCCCUCGGAGCCUUCUGGAACAGCGUUAACCUCUGCGAGCCCGGCUCGGAGCACGGAGCGGUCACGGAGCCGGGAACGGCAAUGGGGGGACACGGAAGGGGGCUCCGAGGGGAUGUCCCGCUGCCGGGACCCGGCUAAUCCCGCUGUCAGGACCUGAAUCCUUCACCCUGUCAGGACCCGAGUCCUUCACCCUGUCAGGACCCGAGUCCUUCACCCUGUCAGGACCUGAAUCCUUCACCCUGCCAGGACCUGAGUCCUUCACCCUGUCAGGACCUGAGUCCUUCACCCUGUCAGGACCCGAGUCCUCCACCCUGCCAGGACCCGGCUAAUCCCCCUGUCAGGACCUGAAUCCUUCACCCUGCCAGGACCUGAGUCCUUCACCCUGCCAGGACCCGAGUCCUUCACCCUGCCAGGACCUGGCUAAUCCCCCUGUCAGGACCUGAGUCCUUCACCCUGCCAGGACCCGAGUCCCCCCCGCUCCGGGACCUGGGAUGCUCCCGGUGACGCCGCGGUGUCCCCAAGGGGAUGGGAAGGGUCCUGUCCCCCCCUUGUGUCCCGUCCCCUCGGUCCGAGGCCGCUCGUCCGGGCUCAGUUUUAGGCAGCGGUUUCUGUUUUUGAUGCGCGAUGUUCAGGGAGCGGAAUAAAGAGGAAUGACCCGGGAGAGGG